AUAGAGACUCAGAGUCUGCAUAUCAAUAAGCGGAGGAAAAGAAACUAACUAGGAUUCCCUUAGUAACGGCGAGUGAAGCGGGAAGAGCUCAAAUUUGAAAUCUUCAAGGUUUUACCUUGACGAAUUGUAGUUUAAAGAAGUGUUUUCUGUUGGAUGUUUUGGUAAAAGUUCUUUGGAAUAGGACAUCAUAGAGGGUGAGAAUCCCGUAUUUGACCAUUAUUUCCAGCUGUGUGAUACACUUUCAAAGAGUCGGAUUGUUUGGGAAUGCAGUCCAAAAUGGGUGGUAAAUUUCAUCUAAAGCUAAAUACUGGCGAGAGACCGAUAGCGAACAAGUACCGUGAGGGAAAGAUGAAAAGAACUUUGAAAAGAGAGUUAAACAGUACGUGAAAUUGUCAAAAGGGAAGCGUUUGACACCAGUGUUGUUUUCUCGAAAAUCAAUUAAAAAAGGCAGGAUUUUGUGUUGUAUUGACUUUAUCAAGCUUUCUUCACUCUUUUCUUGUCUUUUUUAAUGCACUUUUCGUUUAACAAGUCAACAUCAGUUUCUUUUGUUGUAAAAGGGUCAUUGGAAGGUGGCUUUCUUUUCGGAGAAAGUGUUUAUAGCCUUUGGCCUCUGCAAUCGGAGAGAUUGAGGUCUGCAGCGUAGAUCCUUCGGGGUUAGAUACAUUUGUGCUAAGUUAUAGCCUUUCAUAGACAACUUGUUGACUAUGAUCAGUCAUGUAGCUUACUCGCUUAUGCUAUUUUACCUACGCUUAGGAUGUUGACGAUCAGCUGAGCGCG
Molecule: ribosomal RNA, 777 nt
Filed under: uncultured Neocallimastigales
Lineage: Eukaryota; Fungi; Neocallimastigomycota; Neocallimastigomycetes; Neocallimastigales
Description: partial large subunit ribosomal RNA
Rfam family: Eukaryotic large subunit ribosomal RNA
Source: RNAcentral